UGGGGAAUAUUGCGCAAUGGAGGAAACUCUGACGCAGCGACGCCGCGUGGGUGAUGAAGGCCUUCGGGUUGUAAAGCCCUGUCGGCUGGGAAAAAGGUUAUCAUGAAUAAUACCAUGAUAAUUUGAUGGUACCAGCAAAGGAAGCACCGGCUAACUCUGUGCCAGCAGCCGCGGUAAUACAGAGGGUGCAAGCGUUGUUCGGAAUUACUGGGCGUAAAGGGCGCGUAGGCGGCUCUGCAAGUCAGAUGUGAAAUCCCGAGGCUUAACUUCGGAAGUGCAUUUGAAACUGCAAAGCUAGAGUUCAGUAGAGGUUGGCGGAAUACCCAGUGGAGAGGUGAAAUUCGUAGAUAUUGGGUGGAACACCGGUGGCGAAGGCGGCCAACUGGGCUGACACUGACGC
Molecule: ribosomal RNA, 400 nt
Filed under: uncultured bacterium
Lineage: Bacteria
Description: bacterial SSU rRNA
Rfam family: Bacterial small subunit ribosomal RNA
Source: RNAcentral